CUAAUUGCAUUACAAGGAAGUCAGGAGCACUAAAUCUUUCCUUUCCCUUUUAGCCAAAGGUUAGGCAAAUUAUUCUACUUUUCCACAGUUAAACCUUAUUUUUAUGAUGGAAAGAAAAGUAAAACCCCACUUGCUUUAAAGCAUUAAGUUAGGAAUGAUGUGGUUCUCAACAGAGGACUGCCUGGUGGCCAGCCUUGGUUGAUGAAUAUACAGAGAAGUUUGGAGAAGGUCUAUGAAACCAGAUCACAAGAGCCAACAAGUUAGCUGCUCUGUAGCUUAAAUAGCAGUUGCCUUGUUUUCUUCUAGACUCUGGAUCAUGGAGUAACCUGUGCAUCUACAGACCUACAGACUGUCUUGCUUUUUCUUUCUAGUC
This 373-nucleotide long non-coding RNA is filed under the name Bos taurus (domestic cattle). Its description in RNAcentral is "long non-coding RNA NONBTAT015690". Lineage: Eukaryota; Metazoa; Chordata; Mammalia; Artiodactyla; Bovidae. The record is from RNAcentral.